GGUUAAGUCCCGCAACGAGCGCAACCCUUGUCUUUAGUUGCCAUCAUUAAGUUGGGCACUCUAGAGAGACUGCCAGGGAUAACCUGGAGGAAGGUGGGGAUGACGUCAAAUCAUCAUGCCCCUUAUGCUUAGGGCUACACACGUGCUACAAUGGGUAGUACAGAGGGUUGCCAAGCCGUAAGGCGGAGCUAAUCCCUUAAAGCUACUCUCAGUUCGGAUUGUAGGCUGAAACUCGCCUACAUGAAGCUGGAGUUACUAGUAAUCGCAGAUCAGAAUGCUGCGGUGAAUGCGUUCCCGGGUCUUGUACACACCGCCCGUCACACCACGGGAGUUGGAGACGCCCGAAGCCGAUUAUCUAACCUUUUGGAAGAAGUCGUCGAAGGGGGAAUCAAUAACUGGGGUGAAGUCGUAACAAGGUAGCCGUAUCGGAAGGUGCGGCUGGAUCACCUCCUUUCUAAGGA
This 461-nucleotide ribosomal RNA is filed under the name Clostridioides difficile. RNAcentral describes it as "bacterial SSU rRNA". It matches the Rfam family "Bacterial small subunit ribosomal RNA", at positions 1078 to 1533 of the family's 1533-position model. Lineage: Bacteria; Bacillati; Bacillota; Clostridia; Peptostreptococcales; Peptostreptococcaceae. The record is from RNAcentral.